RNAcentral lists this long non-coding RNA (201 nucleotides) under Capsicum annuum. RNAcentral's name for it is "long non-coding RNA (CANN_LNC003239)". Lineage: Eukaryota; Viridiplantae; Streptophyta; Magnoliopsida; Solanales; Solanaceae. The record is from RNAcentral.
UGAGGGCUUGCUUUACUUAGUUUCGUGUAAGGAUGCCUUAAUCGUACACCAAUUGAGAACGGAAUUUAAGCAUGCCAAGAAAGAAAUUGAUCGAUUUGCGGUAGCAUCUAGAGCAAAGUUAUACGACAAUUGCUUGAUUAUCAAUGGAUGUCGCCAAUAACAAGAAGUGGACAUAGCUAAGAGGGCAAAGGCCGAUAGAAG